RNAcentral lists this small nuclear RNA (131 nucleotides) under Capronia epimyces CBS 606.96. RNAcentral's name for it is "U4 spliceosomal RNA". It matches the Rfam family "U4 spliceosomal RNA". Rfam says of the family: U4 small nuclear RNA (U4 snRNA) is a component of the major U2-dependent spliceosome. Lineage: Eukaryota; Fungi; Ascomycota; Eurotiomycetes; Chaetothyriales; Herpotrichiellaceae. The record is from Rfam by way of RNAcentral.
AACAAUGUACAGAGUCUAACCCUUUCAAUAGUGAGGCUUCGGCCGAGUUUGCUUCCAUUGCUAGUUGAAAACUUUUUCGACCAACUCUUGUUGGCUUUCGGGUCGGCAAGGAAUUUUUGCAAGAUUUCCAC